Molecule: ribosomal RNA, 431 nt
Filed under: uncultured bacterium
Lineage: Bacteria
Description: partial 16S ribosomal RNA
Rfam family: Bacterial small subunit ribosomal RNA
Source: RNAcentral
AACGAACGCUGGCGGCAGGCUUAACACAUGCAAGUCGAACGCCCCGCAAGGGGAGUGGCAGACGGGUGAGUAACGCGUGGGAACAUACCCUUUUCUACGGAAUAGCUCUGGGAAACUGGAAUUAAUACCGUAUACGCCCUACGGGGGAAAGAUUUAUCGGGGAAGGAUUGGCCCGCGUUGGAUUAGCUAGUUGGUGGGGUAAAGGCCUACAAAGGCGACGAUCCAUAGCUGGUCUGAGAGGAUGAUCAGCCACAUUGGGACUGAGACACGGCCCAAACUCCUACGGGAUGCAGCAGUGGGGAAUAUUGGACAAUGGGCGCAAGCCUGAUCCAGCCAUGCCGCGUGAGUGAUGAAGGCCUUAGGGUUGUAAAGCUCUUUCACCGAUGAAGAUAAUGACGGUAGUCGGAGAAGAAGCCCCGGCUAACUUCGUG